RNAcentral lists this long non-coding RNA (3334 nucleotides) under Homo sapiens (human). RNAcentral's name for it is "PREDICTED lncRNA (TCONS_00058795)". The record is from RNAcentral. Lineage: Eukaryota; Metazoa; Chordata; Mammalia; Primates; Hominidae.
GGGAAUACCAGGGGUGGGCACUGUCAAGAGACCCAGCUUUGACUUCAAAUGCCACCCAGAGGGACAACUGCUCACUUUCAGAGCAGGAGCAGGAGGCCAGAGGAGAGUACCAGCUGAAACUGAUUAGAGCCAAGAUAGCCAACCAAAUGACUUCAGGAAGACCUCAGGCUUCAUUAUCAUCUCAUUUCCAUGCUAAAAAAACCCAGCUCCCUAGAACAAUGGGAAAUAUUGGGCACUUCAUCAGGCGAGUUCAGGUGCAUUUCUAGAGAUUGUCCAGGUGCUGGUAACAAUAAUAGAGAACCAUCCAUAUCCACAAGAGGCAGAACCUCUUCCAGCAAAAUGGUGCUGCCUCACCCAAAGGUGGCCGAGGAGGCCGUCGGAGGACCACAAAGCUGCAAGUGGCUUUCCUGCGGCCUGCAGGGAACAGGUGGAGGACACUUGGAAGGGCACCCACCCCGGGUCUCACAGGAGUCUGCACCCGCAGGUCACACUGGCAUUAGCCCCUCAUCCUCUGGAGUUCAUCUCAUCCAGGCGAAGACAGCUGGCUGGCCUCAGAGGGUGAGACGCAACUCGAGGGUAAAAACAUUUUUACAGGGCAUGGACACAAAAGUGGCCUUUACCUCUGGAUAAGCUUUUAAAACUUCCCAUUUACAUGUAAAGGUGUACUUUCUAUGUGCCACCAAGAAACCUAAAGUGAGUAAAAGGUGUUUCACUUUAAUCAAGUUCCCCAAUGAGGGGGCACAGCUCUGAAAAGCACUGUCACAACAGGAGAUUCGAGGGUGCAUGCAAAGCAAUGUUUCUAGAAAAUGCCAAAGGAAACAGACACAACUCCAGUGUGGACUCCCGCUUCCCUGCACUGCUGCUCCAUCCUCAGGGCGGAGGCCACAUCGUCCAGCUAGCUGUGAGAACCUCAUCAUGCUCCUUGAUUGUGUGCAGCAGGUGUCUGCUGAAGUCCUCCACACUCUGCCUGUGAGAAAACUGUACUACAGAAAGGUGAGCACCUUGCCCAAAGUUACGCAGAAAGUGAAAAAACAAGAAUUCUAACCCAGACAACUAGAGAUAAAAUAGACAAGUGGCUUCAUGCAUCAGUAGCAUUGAAAGACACCUCGAAUGUGGCCUUACUUCAAGGUGAUGGAAUUUCUUUUUAAGCUCAGCUUCUACUUCCCUUCUGAGGAAGUUCAUGACAGGGAGCUGCUGCAACUGAUGUGACUUUCAACUCUAAUAUCCCGAUGAUGUAAAUGCACUGAUCAGCUCAGCAGGAUUUAAGGUCUCAUCCGCUGAGCAGUGCCUCCUCCCGAUUCAGCACGUCCCUGGUGCCGACUUUCUGCACGUGUUCACUUUGAGGCUGCAUUGUGGGCCUGCAAGAAAUGCAAAGCUGGUUGAGGCUUUAUUCAAUUCAAAUUCAAGCUGUUAAAUCGAGGCUCUCAGACUCCUGCUGCCUGGCCAGUGGAGAAAUUAACUUUCACAUAUGGCUUUGGGAUUUCUCUCUGUCAUCCUGGUCGACGUGUUCUCUCAUUUUUCUGAAGUCUGGGACCUCAACACAGACAUCUGGGUGAAGGCCUUGACAGCAGCGCUGGUGCAAAAUGAAUUGUCACAUCACACCCAACGUUCUCAACCUUUAGAAUCUGAAAGUAAGAAAAACACCUCAAACAUUGAUUCUGAGUAAUCAGCACAGAUUUCUAAAAGAAACUUUAUGGGAUGCUGAGACAUGAAUAAAAACAACUUUAUUCCUUUGGAAAGGACAACCCACAUGCUAAGAAGAUGACACUACACGUUGUUAUAGCCCGAAAGGCCCUCUUUCCACAGGGGAGCAGUGAAAAGUAGAGGUUGCCCAUGUGGAUUCCCAAGUCAGAUAGAUGUGGAUUCAGAUCCCAGCUCUGCUGCUUGCUACCCAAGAGACCAUGGACUGUGGACUCUUUAGGUCUCAGGGUUUUUGUUUGUUGUCUGUUUUUCACUUCCAAAACCAGAAAAUGAGAAGAUAUUUUCCAUAAGAUGGCGGUGGUGAGUAAAUGUAAUUAUAUGUCUAAAGCUAUGGGCAUGAAAGCUUGGCACACAUUUAAGUAAGUGCUUGAUAAAUGUUAAUUCUUACAACUAUUGGUAUCAUUUAGAUUUAGGUUGCUGAGUUAGUGGGAAAUAAUGUCCUUAUCAUGUGAGGAAUCCCUAUUCUCAAAAGGGGUUAUUAUCAUUAGAAUGCUAACUGUUUUCAAAACAGCUAAUUGACCAUUUUAUUCAGAAGCACCAUCUGCUACUCAUUAGGGUCUAGGUUUCUGUCAGCUCACGGGUGCCCAUAUGUGAGUUGAUAACCCUAUUUCAGUCUUGGUUGUUGAAUCCUCAGUGUCUGCGGUUGACUGACUAUCAGGUAUUUGCAUCUCUGAAAGUAAUUUUCAGCAGUGAGUUUUUAGUUAGGUUCUUUGGUUACAGUUCUGGAUAAUUAACACUAAAAUGAGACAUCUUAGAAGGCUUUGGCUCAGAUAAUUGAGAGAAGUGAAUGUUGAACAAGAUUCAGGAAGGGAAGAGCUGGGAUACCCCAAUGUCUGGAUUUCAUGCUCUUUUUCUCCAAGCACAUCCACUGUGGGGCUUGGCCUCAAUCCCCUAGAUGUCUUCAAUAUAAUCUUCAAUUGUCAGGAGAAGAGAACUUGAUGGACCUUGCUUGGACAAAAUGCCUUCACCGCUAACUCAGUCAGCUAUGGCGAUGGGUCAAGGACCUGGUGGUUUUACAGAGAAGACCCUUGGUCAAAUCUUUGUGAAUGAAGCAACCAUUCUGAUGUUCAAUAACAGGGUAAGUGCUGGCCAAUGAUGUCAUUAUCGUCCAUCCUGUGGCUUCCACACAUCAGUGAUCUUAUUAGAUACCUGCAAUUUCAACCCACUAUAUCAGAAUUCCAUAGGAAUGAGUUGUUUUUAAAGUUCUUCAGAGUGAAUUUGGAUGCUCAGUCAUUAUAAAGAACUAUCUUCAUCCUACAAAGACUGGUGUUUUUUCUUUCCUUGUUUAUCUUGGAAUUUUUUUCCAAUUGCAGCCUUGAAAACCAUUUCCAAUAAUGUCAGAAUUUGCUUAAAAGAUUGUGAAAGACGGUAAUCUGGAUUGUAAUACUGGGUCAAAGAGACCAUACCAGGAGCCAACCAUGCUAAAUCUAACUUUAAAAUACAGAAUUACAAUGUUAAGACAAGUUCCAUAGAGUGAUAAGGUCUAUGUGGUACUUACUAUUUUACACACAUUUUCCUACACUUAGUGUAACUGUCUCCUAAUUAAAUGCAAUUGUUUUAAAUUAGCUGAUGUGUGUUUUAUGUGAUAUAGCUUUAUAUCCUAAGCCAGAAUAAAAAUAUUCUGAGAGUGACA